GGAGAGGGAGAGAAAACAUACAAUUAUGUAUGUCUGGAGCACACCAUAUUAAAGGAGGGAGUGGCAGAAAACGUGAGGUGGGAAUCAAAUCAUGCUGGGCUUUUUGGCCAGCAAACUUGGAAAUCAUGUCUUAGAGAUCAAGGAGCCAAGAGAUGAGACAAGCCUGGGUUCCUAGGUGAUAGGGUGUGGCUGUGUCCCCACCCAAAUCUCGUCUUGAAUUGUAGCUCCCAUAAUCCCCACAUGUUGUGGAGGGACCCUGUGGAAGAUCUUUAAUAAAUGAAAUAAAUGUGACUGUAUGUCCUACAUCCCAUUCCUGUUGUCUUCCAUGUCUCCUCAGAGAUUGUGCCUGCAGCCUGGCCUGUUGCCCACAGCGGUCUACCUGCCACACUGGGAAAGAUCGAGCAGAGACAGAGAAGAAAAGGAGGCUCCAUUUUUCAGGCUGCUCUCCCGCAGGCUCAUGUUUUGUGUUCAUGCCAGGCAGAGAACACAAAAUGUUCCAAUAAAUAAGUAUCAAAGAUGUACCCAUAGGGUCAAGCUCCAGCACAGAGACCCAUCCUGGGAUGCAGGACUUGGUGCCAGGGAAGUCCCAGCAUCUACUUGUUUCCAAAGUUAUUUGGGUCAGCAUUUUCCUCCACCCACCACUUAAAACUGAUUUGUUUCAUACAUUUGAAAUGUAUGAAAAGCCAGAAAUCCAGGACCCACCCUGGCCUGCUCCCUUUUUCUCACCUACUGUGUUAAGGAUAAGUCAAUUGAGCUUCACUUCUCUAAUUGAAAUCACCGUGCUGAUGGAGUCUGUCUGUGGAAAUGAAAGGUGGCUACCAUAAUCUGUUGGGAGUUGAAUUAAUCCUCUGGGAGUGAGGCUGACCUAAUUACUCAGAAAUACUGGGCUUGCUUUCAUUCUGUGGAAUACAGCCAUGAGAAAGAGGCCAGCAUGCCAUUUCCUAAUCUUUUCUUGAAUUGCCUGAAACUCACCUAACAUGAAACUGAGAAGCCUUUUCAUUUGAAAGUGGUAUUUCUUAUGUUUUUUAUCUUUUUGCUUGAAAGUAUUCUUAAACUAAAGAAAGGAGAAACAGAAAAGGUGAAGAAGCCAAGAGGCUGGAGUUUCCUUUUGAAUGGAUAUUCAUCCAUGAAGCUGUUGAUUCUGUUUUUCUGUUCCUCCAGAUGUCUACACUUUUACCUCUGCUUGCCUGAUACAACCACCACCAGUCACCUCACAGAAUAACUCACUCCUUAAGAAUCUGAUCAGGAAUCAGCCUUCCCUGAUCACAAACACUGAGUUUAGAAGUCCCUCCACAGUGUCCCCCGUAACCCUGUGCUACCUCACUGCCUCAUAGUUUAGUGCCGUUUGUGUACAUGCCUAUCUUCGUCCAUGGAUCCAGAACAACUUGUAAAAAUGACUGUACUUAUCACCUUCAGUAUUCAAUGACUAAACUAUAAUUUUAACAUAUCUGGCAGAAUGAAUCACUUGGGGAUUUCUGCCAACACUACCAAUAUAUUACUCCUAAUUUGUAAUUAUUACUUAGCAUGGAUUAUAGUACCGGCUGUUGGAGAGCCAAUGUGGCAGACCCUAAGUGGAAUAAAAUGUCAGUAGCAGUCUAGGAGCAUAUAUUUAUUGGAAUAGAUCAUUCAUUCAUUUGUUCAUUAACUAAUUUGUUCAUUAAAUAAACAUUUAUUAAGCA
Molecule: long non-coding RNA, 1679 nt
Filed under: Homo sapiens (human)
Lineage: Eukaryota; Metazoa; Chordata; Mammalia; Primates; Hominidae
Description: CCDC26 long non-coding RNA
Source: RNAcentral